This 400-nucleotide ribosomal RNA is filed under the name uncultured bacterium. RNAcentral's name for it is "bacterial SSU rRNA". It matches the Rfam family "Bacterial small subunit ribosomal RNA", at positions 355 to 747 of the family's 1533-position model. The record is from RNAcentral.
UGGGGAAUAUUGGACAAUGGGCGCAAGCCUGAUCCAGCAAUGCCGCGUGUGUGAAGAAGGCCUGCGGGUUGUAAAGCACUUUUAGUGGGGAGGAAGGGGAUGCUUCGAAUAGAGGUGUUCAUUGACGCUACCCACAGAAAAAGCACCGGCUAACUCUGUGCCAGCAGCCGCGGUAAUACAGAGGGUGCAAGCGUUAAUCGGAAUCACUGGGCGUAAAGAGUGCGUAGGUGGUUAGAAAAGUUGAGUGUGAAAUCCCCGGGCUCAACCUGGGAAUUGCGCUCAAAACUGUCUAGCUAGAGUAUGGUAGGGGGAAGUGGAAUUUCCGGUGUAGCGGUGAAAUGCGUAGAUAUCGGAAGGAACAUCAGUGGCGAAGGCGACUUCCUGGACUAAUACUGACACU